RNAcentral lists this ribosomal RNA (450 nucleotides) under uncultured bacterium. RNAcentral describes it as "partial 16S ribosomal RNA". It matches the Rfam family "Bacterial small subunit ribosomal RNA", at positions 339 to 795 of the family's 1533-position model. The record is from RNAcentral.
CCUCGGGUGGCUGCAGUAAGGAAUAUUGGACAAUGGGCGCAAGCCUGAUCCAGCCAUGCCGCGUGCAGGAUGACGGCCCUAUGGGUUGUAAACUGCUUUUAUACGGGAAAAAACCCCUCUACGUGUAGAGGGCUGAUGGUACCGUAAGAAUAAGGAUCGGCUAACUCCGUGCCAGCAGCCGCGGUAAUACGGAGGAUCCGAGCGUUAUCCGGGUUUAAAGGGUUUGAAGGGUGCGUUGUAAGUCAGGUGUGAAAUCCUGCAGCUUAACUGUAGAACUGCCAUUGAUACUGCAAGUCUUGAGUACAUAUGAUGUGGGCGGAAUGUGUAGUGUAGCGGUGAAAUGCUUAGAUAUUACACAGAACACCAAUUGCGAAGGCAGCUCACAAAACUGUAACUGACGCUGAGGCACGAAAGCGUGGGGAGUGAACAGGAUUAGAUACCCCUGUAGUC